AACGAACGCUGGCGGCAUGCCUAACACAUGCCAGUCGAACGAGACCUUCGGGUCUAGUGGCGCACGGGUGCGUAACGCGUGGGAACCUGCCCUUAGGUUCGGAAUAACUCCCCGAAAGGGGUGCUAAUACCGGAUAAUGUCUUCGGACCAAAGAUUUAUCGCCUUUGGUUGGGCCCGCGUUGGAUUAGCUAGUUGGUAGGGUAAAAGCCUACCAAGGCGACGAUCCAUAGCUGGUCUGAGAGGAUGAUCAGCCACACUGGGACUGAGACACGGCCCAGACUCCUACGGGAGGCAGCAGUGGGGAAUAUUGGACAAUGGGCGAAAGCCUGAUCCAGCAAUGCCGCGUGAGUGAUGAAGGCCUUAGGGUUGUAAAGCUCUUUUACCCGGGAUGAUAAUGACAGUACCGGGAGAAUAAGCUCCGGCUAACUCCGUG
RNAcentral lists this ribosomal RNA (433 nucleotides) under uncultured bacterium. Its description in RNAcentral is "partial 16S ribosomal RNA". It matches the Rfam family "Bacterial small subunit ribosomal RNA", at positions 29 to 507 of the family's 1533-position model. The record is from RNAcentral.